CUAAUUAUCCGAACCUCAGGCAAUCCGGAACCCGGUGCAAAUCCGGGGCGGUCCCGCCGCUGUAAUCGGGGACGGAGUUGAGUUUCAGGCGCAAUUGCCGGCCACUGCCGGGGGCUUAUUUAUAAAAAACCCCGGUGGGAAGGCUGACCUCCUCCGGCUGAUCCGAGAGCCAGAAGACCUGCCUGGCGGUUUUUUUGUAA
This 200-nucleotide non-coding RNA is filed under the name Desulfobacca sp. The record is from RNAcentral. Lineage: Bacteria; Pseudomonadati; Thermodesulfobacteriota; Desulfobaccia; Desulfobaccales; Desulfobaccaceae.